Non-coding RNA from Mycena leptocephala, 94 nucleotides. The record is from the annotation of a GenBank genome assembly. Lineage: Eukaryota; Fungi; Basidiomycota; Agaricomycetes; Agaricales; Mycenaceae.
GCCCACAUAGAUCAGUUGGUAGAUUGCCUUCCACAAUUGCUUUUAAACUUUCUUAGCUUUGAAGGAGACGGGGGUUCGAACCCUCCUGUGGGCA